This is a long non-coding RNA of Wyeomyia smithii (pitcher-plant mosquito), 1074 nucleotides long. RefSeq lists it as uncharacterized. NCBI's taxonomy places the organism in Eukaryota, Metazoa, Arthropoda, Insecta, Diptera, Culicidae. The transcript is spliced from 3 exons. The record is from RefSeq and is a predicted model, not a curated record.
CCUUACUUUGAUGCUUCAAUUGCACAUUGCGGAAGACGGAUUCGAUUUAAAAUUAGCUGUGUCCUUUGCUAACGUUGUUUCAGCGACAUUCGCUUUCCAGAGCAUCAUCCGAAGUAUUUUUCUUUCGUCAAAAUCAACAAUAUGGACACCCCUGAUCCACCAGUCGAAACAUCAAAACAGCAAAAAGUGUGUACAAAAACUAAGGCAGACCAACCUACAUCAGCCAAACGCAUCACUGGAACCGUGAAGUGGUACAACGUCAAGGAUGGGUUCGGAUUCAUUACACGCCACGAUAAUGGGCAAGAUGUAUUCGUCCAUAGAAGCUGCAUCAUGACUCCGAACAGACGACACCAUACCAAAUCGCUUGGAGAUGGGGAAGUUGUCGAGUUUUCACUGAUAGCUUCUAAAGUGACUGGACCUGAUUUCGCUCCAGUUAAGGGUAGUCCUUUUGUGGCACUGCGUUCGAGACCAAAUUCGAGAAAGCAAAAUUCAAGACCUGAAAGCCGCAAAAGUCACCAAUCUGAGGUUGUCGGAGAUGGAUUUGUCGAGACAGAAUUCGGAAAAAUGGCAAUCGAUGAGACAAAACAAAAGACCCCUGUUUCUAAUCAGCCUCGUGAACCAUUGACGACGGUGGUAGACAUAGUGCUUGAAGCGAUCUCACCGUUAGAACUGUGUGAUUUGUUGCGCCCAGCAGAAAAACAAGAGACAAUAUAAAAUUCAAUCUACUUCACUGAAUGGAACAGAGUUCUUGAUUUUAUCGUUUUGUUUACUAUUUUCGUCUUCUAACUUUUGAACCGUUCGCUGUGCUUCGCUUAGUUUUAUCGCUUGUAACUCUGCGGACACUUUUGGAGCUGCAAGUUUCUCUAUAGAAUGAGAAAAAAAUUAUCAAUAAACUGCAAAACAACAGAUCAAAAGGUGAGAUAUUUACUUAGUUCCGCUUCCAGUUUUGUUUUUUGCUCCUUCGAUUCGUCCAGUUGUUUUUGUAAUUGCUUUUUCUCAUUAUCCAAUGCGGAUAUGCUCAUGGCACCCGAUCGGCCGACAACAGCACGUAACUCGGCAAUUUCAUUCUCGCAU